ACUCCUACGGGAGGGCAGCAGUGGGAAUGAUUGCACAAUGGGCGCAAGCCUGAUGCAGCCAUGCCGCGUGUGUGAAGAAGGCCUUCGGGUUGUGAAAGCACUUUCAGGUUGUGAGGAAAGGUUAGUCGCUAAUAUCGGCUAGCUGUGACGUUAGCAACAGAAGAAGCACCGGCUAACUCCGUGCCAGCAGCCGCGGUAAUACGGAGGGUGCGAGCGUUAA
This 220-nucleotide ribosomal RNA is filed under the name uncultured bacterium. RNAcentral describes it as "partial 16S ribosomal RNA". It matches the Rfam family "Bacterial small subunit ribosomal RNA", at positions 335 to 543 of the family's 1533-position model. The record is from RNAcentral.